AUUGAACGCUGGCGGCAGGCCUAACACAUGCAAGUCGAGCGGAGCGGCUGACGGGUGAGUAAUUCCUCCUUAUCUGCCUGGUAGUGGGUGAUAUCGUUCGGUUACGGACCCUAAUACCGCAUCCUAUCAGAUCUGCCUCGGUCGUAUUAGCUCGUUGGUGAGGUAAUGGCUCACCAAGGCUACGAUCCGUAACUGGUCUGAGAGGAUGAUCAGUCAAACGGGAACGGAGACACGGACCAGACUCCUACGGGAGGCAGCAGUGGGGAAUAUUGGACAAUGGUCGAAAGCCUGAUCCAGCCAUGCCGCGUGUGUGAAGAAGGUCUUCGGAUUGUAAAGCACUUUAAGUUGGGAGGCGUUACCGAAAGAAUAAGCACCGGCUAACUCUGUGCCAGCAGCCGCGGUAAUAG
RNAcentral lists this ribosomal RNA (407 nucleotides) under uncultured bacterium. RNAcentral's name for it is "partial 16S ribosomal RNA". It matches the Rfam family "Bacterial small subunit ribosomal RNA", at positions 30 to 526 of the family's 1533-position model. The record is from RNAcentral.